This 474-nucleotide ribosomal RNA is filed under the name uncultured Acidobacteriota bacterium. RNAcentral's name for it is "bacterial LSU rRNA". It matches the Rfam family "Bacterial large subunit ribosomal RNA", at positions 188 to 629 of the family's 2925-position model. The record is from RNAcentral. Lineage: Bacteria; Pseudomonadati; Acidobacteriota.
UGGAAGUGAACCAUCUCAGUACCCACAGGAGAAGAAAACAAUAGUGAUUCCGCUAGUAGCGGCGAGCGAACGCGGAAGAGCCCAAACCUUCGUGCUUGCACGGGGGGGUUGGAGGGUCUGUUUGGCCGCAAGGCCGACGAGUUACCAACCAGCAACAUAGUCGAACGGUUUUGGAAAAGCCGGCCAUAGCGGGUGAUAGCCCCGUAGGCGAAAUGAUGCUGGCUCGUUGGACAGAUACCUGAGUAGCGCGGGACACGUGGAAUCCCGUGUGAAUCUACGAGGACCAUCUCGUAAGGCUAAAUACUCCCUGGCGACCGAUAGUGAACCAGUACCGUGAGGGAAAGGUGAAAAGAACCCCUGCAGGGGAGUGAAAUAGUACCUGAAACCGUAUGCCUACAAGCAGUGGGAGGGCUAUGCCGUGGUUCGCCUCGGAAUGCCUGACCGCGUGCCUUUUGCAUAAUGAGCCGGCUAGUU